This 535-nucleotide ribosomal RNA is filed under the name Lactobacillus crispatus. RNAcentral describes it as "bacterial SSU rRNA". It matches the Rfam family "Bacterial small subunit ribosomal RNA", at positions 481 to 1014 of the family's 1533-position model. Lineage: Bacteria; Bacillati; Bacillota; Bacilli; Lactobacillales; Lactobacillaceae. The record is from RNAcentral.
AACCAGAAAGUCACGGCUAACUACGUGCCAGCAGCCGCGGUAAUACGUAGGUGGCAAGCGUUGUCCGGAUUUAUUGGGCGUAAAGCGAGCGCAGGCGGAAGAAUAAGUCUGAUGUGAAAGCCCUCGGCUUAACCGAGGAACUGCAUCGGAAACUGUUUUUCUUGAGUGCAGAAGAGGACAGUGGAACUCCAUGUGUAGCGGUGGAAUGCGUAGAUAUAUGGAAGAACACCAGUGGCGAAGGCGGCUGUCUGGUCUGCAACUGACGCUGAGGCUCGAAAGCAUGGGUAGCGAACAGGAUUAGAUACCCUGGUAGUCCAUGCCGUAAACGAUGAGUGCUAAGUGUUGGAAGGUUUCCGCCUCUCAGUGCUGCAGCUAACGCAUUAAGCACUCCGCCUGGGGAGUACGACCGCAAGGUUGAAACUCAAAGGAAUUGACGGGGGCCCGCACAAGCGGUGGAGCAUGUGGUUUAAUUCGAAGCUACGCGAAGAACCUUACCAGGUCUUGACAUCUAGUGCCAUUUGUAGAGAUACAAAGU